This 30-nucleotide non-coding RNA is filed under the name Homo sapiens (human). The record is from RNAcentral. Lineage: Eukaryota; Metazoa; Chordata; Mammalia; Primates; Hominidae.
UAAGCCAGGUUCCCUGACUGUGUGCAGCCA